This is a long non-coding RNA of Zophobas morio, 457 nucleotides long. RefSeq lists it as uncharacterized. Lineage: Eukaryota; Metazoa; Arthropoda; Insecta; Coleoptera; Tenebrionidae. The transcript is spliced from 3 exons. The record is from RefSeq and is a predicted model, not a curated record.
UACAUGCUUAUAAUUCUAAAGAAAUUGACCAGGUACUUCAUAAAGAAAUUAUUAUGCAAAAAUGUUUCCGUGGCUUACACUUAAUUUUUUGUCGUUAUCUUAUCAAUUAUGAGAUCACGACUACUUUAUGGAGAAGAACCGCAACAGUAAACAUUUUUAUUUGCUAUAUUUUAGUACAUAUCUAGUUCUAAUGCAGGGAUCUAUAGAUUUUUCAAGAUUAUCGGAUUAUUUUAAUAUGUAUUAUAAAUCAUCAGCUAGGAUUUUUUAGUUAACGCCAGUGGACAAUCAUAAAGAAAAAGGAGACAGGGGAAAAAUAAAAAAAGUUAAAUGAGGUGUAAGAAAAAUUUUUAAAUCGAGAAAAUCUGCUAAAGCGUCUUCAUAAAUCGCCACAAAUUAUGAGAGGGAGUGAAAAAACAGAACAGUCAUAUUACAAUUCAUGUAAACAAUGUAUUGCUAG